This 217-nucleotide long non-coding RNA is filed under the name Capsicum annuum. RNAcentral's name for it is "long non-coding RNA (CANN_LNC009950)". The record is from RNAcentral. Lineage: Eukaryota; Viridiplantae; Streptophyta; Magnoliopsida; Solanales; Solanaceae.
GUUAGGAUAAGAGGGCGGUCUCUGGCUCACGGUGGGCUGGAGAUACCCAUCACAACUAGGCCUUGAUUUAAAUCAUUACAAGCUUGGUAUUAGAUCAUCAUUUAGGCUUAUUAGGUGUCCAUAAUGCCGUGUUGAGUAGAGUUUAUUUGAUUGGUGUGUAGUGCACCAUACUUACAAGGAGGAGGCUACAAGAUAUUUAACAAUGUUUCCCUUUCUU